CAACUUAGCCUCUCGCUGUGAGAACACCGACGCCCUCCUUUCCCUGCUUUUUUGAUUUCUGUCCACACUCGCCCGGGGGUCAGACCCCACUGCUUCACCAGUUUGAAGGCUGCGCUCCAAGUUUCCGUCCCUCCACCCCGCCUCGCACCUCGAAGGAAGUUGUGCGGGUGCGUCGGAACUGAUAUUUCCUUCUUGUGGAAUUCUAGAGACAACCCCGUUCCCAGCUGCAGUCCACUCAGCGUGACCGCCAGGGCAUGGGGGUGUGAAACGGACCUACCGUUCGGGCGACCCCGGGGCAUCACGUCCGUACAGGCUAGACGUGAGCAUAACGGCCUCAUAGGAGUUCUUUCUUUUACGAUCCGUACGCACGACCGGCUGAGACCGGCUGGAGAGUCCUCGGCGCCCCUACUCCGCUUAGGGGUCAGCGCGAGUGCCAGAAGGGCCUAGCACACCGUGGGCGACUUCGGAAGGCCAGGGCGGCCGGCCUUCUAGACUAGAAGAUCCAUACUUGGAAGCGUGGUUUCUUGUGGCGUUCCGGUAGUGCGCCGUGAUCGUAUAGUGGUUCUUCUAUUUCCUCAAAAAGAAACCCAUGGGUAGAUCCAGCAGGACGAGUCCUGUCAUGAGGCCUGAAUCUCAUUCCUGAGGAAGAAUGCAGGAGCUGCCUCUCAGAAGCAAAGGUUUAAAUCAGUGGUUUCCAAACAUUAUUCUAGAACUCAUAAACAGGGAUGAAGUUUUCAUCAUGGAAUAAGAGAAAAUAAGGUCAAUGUGGUGUCCUGGAGGGCAGUGCUUUGGGCCUGGGUCUUCAACUUGCCUUUGGGAUUUUGGUCAUCAGAACUGAUCCUCAAUUUAAUGACUUCAAUGGCUGGGAGACCAGGUUCAGGUCUCCUGGUUUUUGCAAAUCACCAUGAGUACCACUUGUCACAGAUACCCUGGCUGUGGCAGGAAACAUCUUUGAGGGGUUGGUAAGCACUCGAAGGCAUUUUGAUCUUCUUUUCUUUGGGGAACACAAAGUGGAGCAGAAAACAGAUUGAGAGAAAGUAUGCUUUCUGGACCGCACUGCCAUAGCAGGAAGCCUGACAACACCAUCACCUGCAAAAACAGUCUCACAAGCGGGAGGAGCGAGCAGGAAAAUCUGGUACUGAACUCGAUCUCAGCAAAUGCUACGCCGACUCCUAGGGCUAAGAGGCACCCUCAGAAGGCUAAAGUGAUUUGGUCAGAAGAAGACUGGGCGGCCCAGUCCUUCCUGGGAGGCGCGCAACGGAGACCAAACACUCUCGGGCUCCUUCCUGGGGGCGGGGCAAACAUGCCACUCGGCGUCCUGGGAGGCGCCAGAGCGCCUGCGGCAGGUUUCCGCCUGGAAGUCGCACCCUCUCCCCGUGCCCCACACCCGCAGCUCAGUACAGGAUUCUCAAGCAGAAAAGGGUGGAGGCUAAGGGAGAGCGGGCAAGAGAAAAGAGGACCGGAGAAGUGGGGGUUGUGGAAGGGGGGCUCUGGUGGGAUGUGGGGUAUCAGUGUGGAAAGGAGACCUUGGGCUUGAGGAAAGGAGGAGAGUGGCAGACUGGGUCACUGAAUGGGUGGAGUCGGAUUUCUAACCACUGGAAAGCGUCUCGUGCAUAUUGUUCCACAGCCUGACGUCUUUGCUUAUGUGUGGGGCCGUCUUUCUAGGCCAGUACAUACAGAUCUCCCUCGUUUAUUUUAUUGGCUAUAUGAUAUUACGUAUAAGGAGGUACGCUAAGGUAUGUGUUUCCUUAUUAAUGGACAUUUAGAUCGGCUUAUAUUUGGCCAGUUAUUUCUAGAGACUUGAGGUAGGCAAAGUUUGUGUUUGACUCCCACUUCUGACUCACCUUUAGAUUCCUGAUCUACUCUUGGUGAAAGCCCUUGGCUAAGCUAGUGGUUGUCAAGCAUUUAAAGGGCUAUCACCUCUGUGGGAAUAAUUGCCUUUUAAGACAGGAAUACAAAGAUUAGGAGCCAGAAGAUCUGGAGUCCUGACCAGAGUCCCUAUGCAGCCAUGUGAGUGGUCUUAGUCUAGUUCUGUUUCUGCAUAUUGAAUGUGAUGAUGAUCAUAUGUACCUUACAAGCUGCUAGAAAUUUGAAUUAAUGCAUGUGAAAAAACCAUAUUGUGUAAAUGGUAAGGUGCUCCAAAGAUAUUCUUUUUUUUUUUUUAAUUUUUUAAAUGUUUAUUUAUUUUUGAAAGACACAGUGACAGUGAGAGCAGGGGAAGGGCAGAGAGAGAGGGAGACACAGAAUCCAAAGUAGGCCCCAGGAUCUGGGCUAUCAGCACAGAGCCCAACAUGGGGCUUGAACCCACAAACUGUGAGAUCAUGACCUGAGCCGAAGCCGGAUGCUUAACCCACUGAGCCACCCAGGUGCCCCAGAUAUUCUUUUCACAAGUAAAGUGUAAGGACCUUAUAUAGAGAGGCUUUGCUUCUUUAUACAUGAACAUUUGCUUGGCACUUAUCACUCCUGGCAUUGCUUAACAAGAUUUACAUUUUUUUUCUUUUCCCUCCAUUUAAUCCAUACAACAACCCUUUGAAGAAGGUACUAGUAUUAUCCCAGUUUUCCUUUUUCUUUUUUUAAUGUUUGUAUAUUUUUGAGAGAGAGAGAAAGCAUAAGUAGGGGAGGUACAGAGAGAGAGUGGGACAGAGGAUCUGAAGCAGGCUCUGCACUGACAGCAGAGAGCCCGACAUGGGGCUUGAACUCGCAAACCACGAGAUCUUAACCUGAGCCAAAGUCAGCCAUUCAACUGACUGAGCCACCCAGGUGCCCUUUUCCGAGUUUCCUCCUUUUCAAAGGAGGAAAGAGAGGCUUAAAUUAAGUUGCUUAAUUAAUUAAAUUAACUUGCUCCCUACAGUCACAUAGUAAGUGACAGAGCUGGGAUUUGAGCCCAGGUGUGACUGAUUCUAAAGCCCUUACUCUUGGGGCGCCUGGGUGGCUCAGUCGGUUGAGUGUCCGACUUCGGCUCAGGUCAUGAUCUCAUGGCUUGUGGGUUUGAGCCCCCGCAUCGUGCUCUGUGCUGACAGCUCAGAGCCUGCAGCCUGCUUCAGAUUCUGUCUCCAGCUCUCUCUGCCCCUCCCCCACUUGUGCUCUGUCUCUAAAAUAAAUAAACAUUAAAAAAAAAAUUAAAGGCCUUACUCUUAAUCACUAUGUCCACUUUUACAACAUCUCAGCCCUUCCUGCCUUCCUUCCUUCUCCAUUGCAGGCCCACAGGUUUAACCCAAAUGAUCUCAUCAGUUUCUAAAGUAUUUAUACUUUCUGAACUACUUGUGUGCCAAUCAUGUCCUGCUGUGUGGCAUCUUUUGUAUUUUUGUCUCAUUUUGCUAUUUGUCUUACUGUUGGCUUCUGUUGCAGCAAGUAAAAAAAUGAUUGCUAUUCAAGCUAGCAAUUCCCUCAAAGACAGAAUUGUCUUCAUUCAACAAGUUGCUUUUAUCAACUCUCUGAGUGUGGAGCUUCAUAGGAGCAGAGAGCAAAUCUGUUUUGUUACCAAAGCCGUAGGAGCUAGCACUGUGCCUCACACACACACACACACACACACACACAAGUUGUUUAAUAUUUGUUGAAGAACAAAGAAGAUGAAACUCCAAGGGUUUGGGCUUGAAUACCUGGGGCACAACAAAAGGAGAGGAAAUGUCUGGCAAAUCAAAGAACACAGAUAAAGCACUUAUACUUCCUGGUACAAAAUAACAUUUUUUAUUUUUUAAAUGUUUACUUAUUUAUUUUGAGAGAGGGAGAGAGAGAUUGAGAACGUGAGUGGGGGAGGGGCAGAGAGAGAGGGAGGGAGAGAGAAUCCCAAGCAAGCUCUGUGCUAUCAGCUCAGAGCCCAAUACAGGGCUUGAACUUGCCAACCAUGAGAUCAUGAUCUGAGCCAAAAUCAAGAGUUAGAAGCUUAACUGACUGAGCCACCCAGGCACUCCCAAAAUAGGAUUUUAAAUCCAUGUUAGUUAUUAUUGCUACAUAAGUAUAAUAUGAAUAGGUUUGUGGAAAGGUAGAAAAUGGGGAGGCAAAAAAAAAAAAAAAAAAAGGAAGAAAUGGAGCAAAAUGAUACUGGGCUAGGGCUAUUUGUGAAGAGAUGGCCAGUGAGGACUUCUCAUAGGCAGAAUAGGGCAAAGGGCAUUUAAGAACAAGGAUACCGGGGCACCUGCAUGGCUCACUUAGUUAAGUGUCUGACUCUUGGUUUCAACUCAGUUCAUGAUCUCAUGGUUCAUGGGAUUGAGCCCUGCGUUGGGUUCUGCAGUGACAGUAUGAAGCUUUCUUGGGAAUCUCUCUCUCGCUCUCUCUGCUCCUCCCCUGCUCAUGCUGUCUUUCUCUCUCUCUUAAAAUACACAUUAAAAAAAAGAAAACAAAGGUACCUAAUAUCUACCCUGCCUUAACUCCAACAGCUUUGCCCUCAAAUCUUCAGUAAAAGUCCACUGUCUAUAUAUUCCACUGCCAGUGGUAUUUUGGAGAAUUCAAGAAUUCAGAUGGUGUGCAGUGUUGAUGGUGUGGUAUAGGCAGUCCAGUCAACAGAGAUUCUCAUUUAGGACGCUGGUGCAAAACCAUUUCCAUUAAGUCUUAUAGGAUGGGAGAUUCUCCAGUGGAUGACUUUUGGGACAUCAAGACAGCUAAACCUAAAGUUACACUUCUGUGGUUACUCUAUUUAUUCUGUGUACAUUGUAUGUAUGUCAUGUCCUCCCAGCUGGAUUGUAAAUUUUUGCAACUAGAAAUGAUGAGAAAUGAGUAGAAUUUGUAUGGCACUUUUCUAUGUUUGAAUUUCUUUUCUUUACACUAACUCACUGAAAUUAACAAAACCUUUUGUGGUAGGUGUGAUGGUGUCAUGGUCCAGCCCCCCUCCAUUUUAAAGACAAGGACAAUCAGGCAGACAGAGGUUAAAUGCUUGCUUUUGGUUACAAAGCUAACAAGGACCGAAGCCAGCCUUGUAUAGUGAAAAAGGACAUGGCUUAUUAAGGCUUUUCACUCUCUGGAUGAUAUCCAGCUUUCCAAUCUCCUUCUUACCACUGUCUCAUGCCACCUGUCCAAGUACACGAUCACCACACAGAACUAUUGACUUUCCCUAAGAAAUCUAUACCUAAGUGACUUUGGAAAAGGCACCUAACCUCUCAGAGCCUCUGUUCUCAGUUAUGCAAAUGAAGAUAAUAAUGGCUUUGUUAAAGUGUUGUUGUGGAGAUUAAAUGUCUUAACCUUAAAGCACUUGGAACAUAAAGAUGUUUAAAGAA
Long non-coding RNA from Panthera uncia (snow leopard), 5210 nucleotides. RefSeq lists it as uncharacterized. Lineage: Eukaryota; Metazoa; Chordata; Mammalia; Carnivora; Felidae. The transcript has 5 exons. The record is from RefSeq and is a predicted model, not a curated record.